GUCGAACGAACUCUGGUAUUGAUUGGUGCUUGCAUCAUGAUUUACAUUUGAGUGAGUGGCGAACUGGUGAGUAACACGUGGGAAACCUGCCCAGAAGCGGGGGAUAACACCUGGAAACAGAUGCUAAUACCGCAUAACAACUUGGACCGCAUGGUCCGAGUUUGAAAGAUGGCUUCGGCUAUCACUUUUGGAUGGUCCCGCGGCGUAUUAGCUAGAUGGUGAGGUAACGGCUCACCAUGGCAAUGAUACGUAGCCGACCUGAGAGGGUAAUCGGCCACAUUGGGACUGAGACACGGCCCAAACUCCUACGGGAGGCAGCAGUAGGGAAUCUUCCACAAUGGACGAAAGUCUGAUGGAGCAACGCCGCGUGAGUGAAGAAGGGUUUCGGCUCGUAAAACUCUGUUGUUAAAGAAGAACAUAUCUGAGAGUAACUGUUCAGGUAUUGACGGUAUUUAACCAGAAAGCCACGGCUAACUACGUGCCAGCAGCCGCGGUAAUACGUAGGUGGCAAGCGUUGUCCGGAUUUAUUGGGCGUAAAGCGAGCGCAGGCGGUUUUUUAAGUCUGAUGUGAAAGCCUUCGGCUCAACCGAAGAAGUGCAUCGGAAACUGGGAAACUUGAGUGCAGAAGAGGACAGUGGAACUCCAUGUGUAGCGGUGAAAUGCGUAGAUAUAUGGAAGAACACCAGUGGCGAAGGCGGCUGUCUGGUCUGUAACUGACGCUGAGGCUCGAAAGUAUGGGUAGCAAACAGGAUUAGAUACCCUGGUAGUCCAUACCGUAAACGAUGAAUGCUAAGUGUUGGAGGGUUUCCGCCCUUCAGUGCUGCAGCUAACGCAUUAAGCAUUCCGCCUGGGGAGUACGGCCGCAAGGCUGAAACUCAAAGGAAUUGACGGGGGCCCGCACAAGCGGUGGAGCAUGUGGUUUAAUUCGAAGCUACGCGAAGAACCUUACCAGGUCUUGACAUACUAUGCAAAUCUAAGAGAUUAGACGUUCCCUUCGGGGACAUGGAUACAGGUGGUGCAUGGUUGUCGUCAGCUCGUGUCGUGAGAUGUUGGGUUAAGUCCCGCAACGAGCGCAACCCUUAUUAUCAGUUGCCAGCAUUAAGUUGGGCACUCUGGUGAGACUGCCGGUGACAAACCGGAGGAAGGUGGGGAUGACGUCAAAUCAUCAUGCCCCUUAUGACCUGGGCUACACACGUGCUACAAUGGAUGGUACAACGAGUUGCGAACUCGCGAGAGUAAGCUAAUCUCUUAAAGCCAUUCUCAGUUCGGAUUGUAGGCUGCAACUCGCCUACAUGAAGUCGGAAUCGCUAGUAAUCGCGGAUCAGCAUGCCGCGGUGAAUACGUUCCCGGGCCUUGUACACACCGCCCGUCACACCAUGAGAGUUUGUAACACCCAAAGUCGGUGGGGUAACCUUUUAGGAACCAGCCGCCU
RNAcentral lists this ribosomal RNA (1432 nucleotides) under Lactiplantibacillus pentosus. Its description in RNAcentral is "bacterial SSU rRNA". It matches the Rfam family "Bacterial small subunit ribosomal RNA". RNAcentral also lists the same sequence under 1 other name. The record is from RNAcentral. Lineage: Bacteria; Bacillati; Bacillota; Bacilli; Lactobacillales; Lactobacillaceae.